Molecule: ribosomal RNA, 476 nt
Filed under: uncultured bacterium
Lineage: Bacteria
Description: SSU rRNA
Rfam family: Bacterial small subunit ribosomal RNA
Source: RNAcentral
AGGACGAACGCUGGCGGCGUGCUUAACACAUGCAAGUCGAGCGGAAAGGCCCUUCGGGGUACUCGAGCGGCGAACGGGUGAGUAACACGUGAGCAACCUGCCCUUAGCUCUGGGAUAGCUCCGGGAAACCGGAAUUAAUACCGGAUACGACCUAGGCCGACAUCGGCCAUGGUGGAAAGUUUUUCGGCUAGGGAUGGACUCGCGGCCUAUCAGCUAGUUGGUGGGGUAAAGGCCUACCAAGGCGACGACGGGUAGCCGGCCUGAGAGGGCGACCGGCCACACUGGGACUGAGACACGGCCCAGACUCCUACGGGAGGCAGCAGUGGGGAAUCUUGCGCAAUGGGCGAAAGCCUGACGCAGCGACGCCGCGUGGGGGAUGAAGGCCGUUCGGGUUGUAAACCCCUUUCAGCGAGGGACGAAGCGAAAGUGACGGUACCUGCAGAAGAAGCGCCGGCUAACUACGCGCCAGCAGCCGC